Molecule: long non-coding RNA, 404 nt
Filed under: Vulpes vulpes (red fox)
Lineage: Eukaryota; Metazoa; Chordata; Mammalia; Carnivora; Canidae
Description: lncRNA (ENSVVUG00000010194.1)
Source: RNAcentral
CCCAGUGAAGGGCUCGGUGGUUGGGCGGGGGGACUUCCCCGCAGCCCAGGCCAGAGAUCCGCCCUUGUACGGAGCUCUGAGCCCCCGCUGCCAAGGACACUUCCAGAAACCCCCCCGCUGCAGCCAGGACCUUUGGAGAAAUCUUGCCCAAAAGAUCUGGCGAGGAGCCCCACCACAGAUGAGCAGAUACAUCCCAGCAAUGGUCUAAAAUGCUCUUACCUGGUCUCUCGUGUGAUAAAGAGCAGUAUUUACAAAUAUAACUGCAUUGAGUUUGGAACACAAUCUUUGACCAAGAAAACAGAAUGAACCUAACUGGGGAGGUAAGCCAUGUUUUUUCCUCUUUCACAUCAAAAAGCAGCCUCCUUAACCUUCUCAACCCCCAACCCCAGCUAUGCAGGAUAUUG